ACCCUUAGGAGACUAGAGCUUGGUGAGACAUCUUUGGGUCAUGGGAGGUGUGCCCUUGAAAGGCGUUGUGGGAUCUGGGUAAACCCUCCCCCAACCCUGGUCUUUUUGUUUCUGGUUAUGAGAUAGAUUUCAUUUCAUGCUUCUAGCAUAGUGUGCUGCCUCUCCACACACCCAAAGCAAAGGGGCCAACCAAUCAUGAGCUGACCGUGAGCCAAUCGUGCGUGAGCCGACUCAUUCUGCUAUUACGAUGUUUUCCUUCUGUGGGGAGAGAUACCAGACAAUUUUAGAUUAUCUGGGGGGAAAAGCUGGGCUCAGUCCUGAGACUUGGCAUUCACAGAAGACUCGUGUUGUUGUGUAGCAACGCCAUCCAGAGUGUCAGCCAAGUUGUGUCAUAUGGUUACAAAACCGUCCCCAUCUUCCAGAUCUUCUCCGUAAGUGUGGAUCCUCCCAGAAGUCUGCUCCUCCUGCCCUGGGAUGACCUUAUAUUCUCUCAGAUGAAGCCAGAACCUGAUUACAAUGCUGUCUUCCACUUUA
Molecule: long non-coding RNA, 534 nt
Organism: Mus musculus (house mouse)
Lineage: Eukaryota; Metazoa; Chordata; Mammalia; Rodentia; Muridae
Product: predicted gene, 35865
Exons: 2
Source: RefSeq, a predicted model, not a curated record